RNAcentral lists this ribosomal RNA (833 nucleotides) under uncultured Fidelibacterota bacterium. Its description in RNAcentral is "SSU rRNA". It matches the Rfam family "Bacterial small subunit ribosomal RNA", at positions 67 to 882 of the family's 1533-position model. Lineage: Bacteria; Pseudomonadati; Fidelibacterota. The record is from RNAcentral.
GAGAACNUUUUCUUCGGAAAAUUAUUAAACUGGCGAACGGGUGAGUAACACGUAGGUAACCUGCCUUGAAGAUUGGGAUAACUCCGGGAAACCGGAGCUAAUACCGAAUAAUGCAGCGAAUCCAUAGGGAUAUGUUGUUAAAGCGGGCUUCGGCUCGCACUUCGAGAUGGGCCUGCGGCCGAUUAGCUUGUUGGUGAGGUAAUGGCUCACCAAGGCGAUGAUCGGUAGCUGGUCUGAGAGGAUGAUCAGCCACACUGGGAUUGAGAUACGGCCCAGACUCCUACGGGAGGCAGCAGUGGGGAAUUUUGCGCAAUGGACGAAAGUCUGACGCAGCAACGCCGCGUGAUUGAUGAAGCUUUUAGGAGUGUAAAGAUCUGUCGUGAGGGAAGAAAAACCUGGAUGUAAAUAAUGUUCAGGCGUGACGGUACCUCACAAGAAAGCACCGGCUAACUUCGUGCCAGCAGCCGCGGUAAUACGAGGGGUGCUAGCGUUGUCCGGAAUUACUGGGCGUAAAGGGUCCGUAGGCGUCUUGACAAGUUGAUCGUUAAAUCCACCGGCUCAACCGGUGAUCUGCGGUCAAAACUUGCAGGAUAGAAUAUGUGAGAGGAAAGUAGAAUUCCUGGUGUAGCGGUGACAUGCGUAGAUAUCAGGAGGAACACCAAUGGCGAAGGCAGCUUUCUGGCACAAUAUUGACGCUGAGGGACGAAAGCGUGGGGAGCGAACAGGAUUAGAUACCCUGGUAGUCCACGCCGUAAACGAUGAGUACUUGGUGGUGGGAGAUUCGACCCUCUCACUAUCGGAGCUAACGCGUWAAGUACUCCGCCUGGGGACUA